This 434-nucleotide ribosomal RNA is filed under the name uncultured bacterium. RNAcentral's name for it is "partial 16S ribosomal RNA". It matches the Rfam family "Bacterial small subunit ribosomal RNA", at positions 36 to 507 of the family's 1533-position model. The record is from RNAcentral.
CUCUCCCUCUGUCGGCAGGCCUAACACAUGCAAGUCGAACGAACCUUUCGGGGUUAGUGGCGGACGGGUGAGUAACACGUGGGAACGUGCCUUUAGGUUCGGAAUAACUCAGGGAAACUUGUGCUAAUACCGAAUGUGCCCUUCGGGGGAAAGAUUUAUCGCCUUUAGAGCGGCCCGCGUCUGAUUAGCUAGUUGGUUGAGGUAAUGGCUCACCAAGGCGACGAUCAGUAGCUGGUCUGAGAGGAUGAUCAGCCACAUUGGGACUGAGACACGGCCCAAACUCCUACGGGAGGCAGCAGUGGGGAAUCUUGCGCAAUGGGCGAAAGCCUGACGCAGCCAUGCCGCGUGAAUGAUGAAGGUCUUAGGAUUGUAAAAUUCUUUCACCGGGGACGAUAAUGACGGUACCCGGAGAAGAAGCCCCGGCUAACUUCGUG